AUAUUGGUUCCUCGGGGCAACCCCUAUUCAGCCAUUCCGCGUGUGUGAAGAAGGUCUUCGGAUUGUAAAGCACUUUAAGUUGGGAGGAAGGGCUUUAGGUUAAUACCCUGAAGUUUUGACGUUACCAACAGAAGAAGCACCGGCUAACUCUGUGCCAGCAGCCGCGGUAAUACAGAGGGUGCAAGCGUUAAUCGGAAUUACUGGGCGUAAAGCGCGCGUAGGUGGUUCAGUAAGAUGGGUGUGAAAUCCCCGGGCUUAACCUGGGAACUGCUUUCAUAACUGCUGAGCUAGAGUACGGUAGAGGGUAGUGGAAUUUCCUGUGUAGCGGUGAAAUGCGUAGAUAUAGGAAGGAACACCAGUGGCGAAGGCGACUACCUGGACUGAUACUGACACUGAGGUGCGAAAGCGUGGGGAGCAAAC
Molecule: ribosomal RNA, 420 nt
Filed under: uncultured bacterium
Lineage: Bacteria
Description: partial 16S ribosomal RNA
Rfam family: Bacterial small subunit ribosomal RNA
Source: RNAcentral